GACGAACGCUGGCGGCGUGCUCAACACAUGCAAGUCGAACGCUGAAGCCUAGCUUGCUGGGUGGAUGAGUGGCGAACGGGUGAGUAACACGUGAGUAACCUGCCCCCUUCUUUGGGAUAACGCCCGGAAACGGGUGCUAAUACUGGAUAUUCACUGAUCUUCGCAUGGGGGUUGGUGGAAAGGUUUGUUCUGGUGGGGGAUGGGCUCGCGGCCUAUCAGCUUGUUGGUGGGGUGAUGGCCUACCAAGGCUUUGACGGGUAGCCGGCCUGAGAGGGUGACCGGUCACAUUGGGACUGAGAUACGGCCCAGACUCCUACGGGAGGCAGCAGUGGGGAAUAUUGCACAAUGGGCGAAAGCCUGAUGCAGCGACGCCGCGUGAGGGAUGGAGGCCUUCGGGUUGUAAACCUCUUUCGCUCAUGGUCAAGCCGCAACAGUGGUUGUGGUGAGGGUAGUGGGUAAAGAAGCGCCGGCUAACUACGUGCCAGCAGCCGCGGUAAUACGUAGGGCGCGAGCGUUGUCCGGAAUUAUUGGGCGUAAAGGGCUUGUAGGCGGUUGGUCGCGUCUGCCGUGAAAUCCUCUGGCUUAACUGGGGGCGUGCGGUGGGUACGGGCUGACUUGAGUGCGGUAGGGGAGACUGGAACUCCUGGUGUAGCGGUGGAAUGCGCAGAUAUCAGGAAGAACACCGGUGGCGAAGGCGGGUCUCUGGGCCGUUACUGACGCUGAGGAGCGAAAGCGUGGGGAGCGAACAGG
Molecule: ribosomal RNA, 750 nt
Filed under: uncultured Actinomyces sp.
Lineage: Bacteria; Bacillati; Actinomycetota; Actinomycetes; Actinomycetales; Actinomycetaceae
Description: bacterial SSU rRNA
Rfam family: Bacterial small subunit ribosomal RNA
Source: RNAcentral